This 253-nucleotide ribosomal RNA is filed under the name uncultured bacterium. RNAcentral describes it as "partial 16S ribosomal RNA". It matches the Rfam family "Bacterial small subunit ribosomal RNA", at positions 524 to 776 of the family's 1533-position model. The record is from RNAcentral.
UACGGGGGGGGCAAGCGUUGUUCGGAAUUACUGGGCGUAAAGGGCUCGUAGGCGGCCAACUAAGUCAGACGUGAAAUCCCUCGGCUUAACCGGGGAACUGCGUCUGAUACUGGAUGGCUUGAGGUUGGGAGAGGGAUGCGGAAUUCCAGGUGUAGCGGUGAAAUGCGUAGAUAUCUGGAGGAACACCGGUGGCGAAGGCGGCAUCCUGGACCAACACUGACACUGAAAAGCGAAAGCCAGGGGAGCAAACGGG